UACGAAGGGUGCUAGCGUUGUUCGGAAUCACUGGGCGUAAAGCGCGCGUAGGCGGUUAUUCAAGUCAGGGGUGAAAUCCUGAGGCUCAACCUCAGAAUUGCCUUUGAAACUGUAUAACUAGAGUGUCGGAGGGGAUAGCGGAAUUGCUAAUGUAGCGGUGAAAUGCGUAGAUAUUAGCAGGAACACCGGUGGCGAAGGCGGCUAUCUGGACGACAACUGACGCUGAGGCGCGAAAGCGCGGGGAUCAAACAGG
Molecule: ribosomal RNA, 253 nt
Filed under: uncultured bacterium
Lineage: Bacteria
Description: partial 16S ribosomal RNA
Rfam family: Bacterial small subunit ribosomal RNA
Source: RNAcentral